This 60-nucleotide ribosomal RNA is filed under the name Basidiobolus ranarum. RNAcentral describes it as "partial 26S ribosomal RNA". Lineage: Eukaryota; Fungi; Basidiobolomycota; Basidiobolomycetes; Basidiobolales; Basidiobolaceae. The record is from RNAcentral.
GCAGGAACGCNAGUCUUCCGGACUUCAACUUCUUUGAUCUCAAAUCAGGUAGGAUUACCC